Molecule: long non-coding RNA, 263 nt
Filed under: Mytilus galloprovincialis (Mediterranean mussel)
Lineage: Eukaryota; Metazoa; Mollusca; Bivalvia; Mytilida; Mytilidae
Source: RNAcentral
AAGAAAGCAUAAACGCAAAAACACGAAAGAGAAAACACGAAAACGCCAAAACGCGAAAUGAAUUCUCGAUUUUGCGCUUUUGCUUUCUCUAUUUCUCGAUUUCCCAAUUUCUUGAUUUCUCGAUUUCCCGAUUUCUCAAUUUCUCGAUUUCGCUUUCUCGAUUUCUGGAUUUCCCCGAAAACACGAAAAGGGGAAACGUCCGCAUCCGUCCACCAUACAUAAGUCUCUGUCAUAUGAUAUUCUUAUUUCGUAUGUAUUUGCAC